This 253-nucleotide ribosomal RNA is filed under the name uncultured bacterium. RNAcentral describes it as "partial 16S ribosomal RNA". It matches the Rfam family "Bacterial small subunit ribosomal RNA", at positions 524 to 776 of the family's 1533-position model. The record is from RNAcentral.
UACAGAGGUCCCAAGCGUUGUUCGGAUUCAUUGGGCGUAAAGGGUGCGUAGGCGGCGCGGUAAGUCGGGUGUGAAAUCUCGGAGCUUAACUCCGAAACUGCAUUCGAUACUGCCGUGCUUGAGGACUGGAGAGGAGACUGGAAUUCCCGGUGUAGCGGUGAAAUGCGUAGAGAUCGGGAGGAAGGCCGGUGGCGAAGGCGGCGCUCUGGAACAUUUCUGACGCUGAGGCUCGAAAGCGUGGAGAGCAAACAGG